Molecule: ribosomal RNA, 477 nt
Filed under: Streptococcus parasanguinis
Lineage: Bacteria; Bacillati; Bacillota; Bacilli; Lactobacillales; Streptococcaceae
Description: bacterial SSU rRNA
Rfam family: Bacterial small subunit ribosomal RNA
Source: RNAcentral
GAUGAACGCUGGCGGCGUGCCUAAUACAUGCAAGUAGAACGCUGAAGCUUGGUGCUUGCACCGAGCGGAUGAGUUGCGAACGGGUGAGUAACGCGUAGGUAACCUGCCUCUUAGCGGGGGAUAACUAUUGGAAACGAUAGCUAAUACCGCAUAAAAGUCGAUAUCGCAUGAUAUUGAUUUGAAAGGUGCAAUUGCAUCACUAAGAGAUGGACCUGCGUUGUAUUAGCUAGUUGGUGAGGUAACGGCUCACCAAGGCGACGAUACAUAGCCGACCUGAGAGGGUGAUCGGCCACACUGGGACUGAGACACGGCCCAGACUCCUACGGGAGGCAGCAGUAGGGAAUCUUCGGCAAUGGGGGCAACCCUGACCGAGCAACGCCGCGUGAGUGAAGAAGGUUUUCGGAUCGUAAAGCUCUGUUGUAAGAGAAGAACGAGUGUGAGAGUGGAAAGUUCACACUGUGACGGUAACUACCAGAA